CCAAUAGCGUAUAUUUAAGUUGUUGCAGUUAAAAAGCUCGUAGUUGGAUUUCGGGACGGAGACGUCGGUCUUCCCUUGUGGUCGAUACUGACUCUCUUCCUUAUCUGCCUUGGGCGUCGCCUAGUCUUAGUUGCCUGGGCGCGCUACACGGCGCCGUUACCUUGAAUAAAUUAUGGUGUUCAAAGCAAGCCUAAGCUCUGAGUACAUUAGCAUGGAAUAACAGCAUAGGACUCCGGUCUUAUUGCGUUGGUCUUCUGAUCGGAGUAAUGAUUAAUAGGGACAGUCGGGGGCAUUCGUACUUCAUUGUUAGAGGUGAAAUUCUUGGAUCAAUGAAAGACGAACUUCUGCGAAAGCAUUUGCCAAGGAUGUUUUCAUUAAUCAAGAACGAAAGUUGGGGGCGCGAAGACGAUUAGAUACCGUCCUAGUCCCAACCGUAAACGAUGCCAACCCCGAAUUGGCGCACGUACGACUUGACGUCGCCAGCGCCCGAGGAGAAAUCAGAGUCUUUGGGUUCCGGGGGGAGUAUGGUCGCAAGUCUGAAACUUAAAGGAAUUGACGGAAGGGCACCACCAGGUGUGGAGCGUGCGGCUUAAUUUGACUCAACGCGGGGAAUCUUACCAGGUCCGGACAUAGCGACGAUUGACAGACUGAUAGCUCUUUCUUGAUCAUAUGGGUAGUG
RNAcentral lists this ribosomal RNA (679 nucleotides) under Spirogyra sp. 4 AS-2014. RNAcentral's name for it is "SSU rRNA". It matches the Rfam family "Eukaryotic small subunit ribosomal RNA", at positions 591 to 1279 of the family's 1831-position model. The record is from RNAcentral. Lineage: Eukaryota; Viridiplantae; Streptophyta; Zygnematophyceae; Spirogyrales; Spirogyraceae.